GAUGAACGCUGGCGGCGUGCCUAAUACAUGCAAGUCGAGCGAACAGACGAGGAGCUUGCUCCUCUGACGUUAGCGGCGGACGGGUGAGUAACACGUGGAUAACCUACCUAUAAGACUGGGAUAACUUCGGGAAACCGGAGCUAAUACCGGAUAAUAUAUUGAACCGCAUGGUUCAAUAGUGAAAGACGGUUUUGCUGUAACUUAUAGAUGGAUCCGCGCCGCAUUAGCUAGUUGGUAAGGUAACGGCUUACCAAGGCAACGAUGCGUAGCCGACCUGGGAGGGUGAUCGGCCACACUGGACCUGAGACACGGUCCAGACUCCUACGGGAGGCAGCAGUCGGGAAUCUUCCGCAAUGGGCGAAAGCCUGACGGAGCAACGCCGCGUGAGUGAGGAAGGUCUUCGGAUCGUAAAACUCUGUUAUUAGGGAAGAACAAAUGUGUAAGUAACUAUGCACGUCUUGACGGUACCUAAUCAGAAAGCCACGGCUAACUACGU
This 496-nucleotide ribosomal RNA is filed under the name uncultured bacterium. RNAcentral describes it as "partial 16S ribosomal RNA". It matches the Rfam family "Bacterial small subunit ribosomal RNA", at positions 28 to 506 of the family's 1533-position model. The record is from RNAcentral.